Molecule: long non-coding RNA, 309 nt
Organism: Carcharodon carcharias (great white shark)
Lineage: Eukaryota; Metazoa; Chordata; Chondrichthyes; Lamniformes; Lamnidae
Exons: 3
Source: RefSeq, a predicted model, not a curated record
CGAGACUCCAAAGACCUGGAGAUCAAAGUAAGAAAUAAAUCAUUAAAAGUUUAGAAAGAAGGAACUUCGUUGCGGCAUGUGUGAAUUCAGAACAGCAAAAUUGCUGGAAAUAUAUACCAGCUAAUAUCCUGUGAUGUUGCACGUAAUGCCUUUAACAAAGUGAAGGGGCCCAUAACAAAGAGCUGAUGAGAGGGUUUGACAAGGAGGAGGACAUAGGAGAGAGACAUGGAGCAAAAGCUCCUUGUUCUACGUUUUUAAACUACUGGCAACUGUUUCCUUUGACAUACACUUGUGAAAGAAUGGGACAAG